UACGUAGGCAGCGAGCGUUGUUCGGAGUUACUGGGCGUAAAGGGUGUGUAGGCGGUUCUUUAAGUUUGGUGUGAAAUCUCCGGGCUCAACUCGGAGUCUGCAGGAGAAACUGCCGUGCUUGAGUAUGGGAGAGGUGAGUGGAAUUCCUGGUGUAGCGGUGAAAUGCGUAGAUAUCAGGAGGAACACCUGUGGCGAAAGCGGCUCACUGGACCAUUACUGACGCUGAUGCGCGAAAGCUAGGGGAGCAAACAGG
Molecule: ribosomal RNA, 253 nt
Filed under: uncultured bacterium
Lineage: Bacteria
Description: partial 16S ribosomal RNA
Rfam family: Bacterial small subunit ribosomal RNA
Source: RNAcentral